Molecule: long non-coding RNA, 343 nt
Organism: Brienomyrus brachyistius
Lineage: Eukaryota; Metazoa; Chordata; Actinopteri; Osteoglossiformes; Mormyridae
Exons: 3
Source: RefSeq, a predicted model, not a curated record
CCUGUGGUUUUACUAAUGACGUCAUCGGCGAUUAGUCAGCGUCACCUCGAAUCUCAUAACUGUCGUUUUUAAAAAAAUCUUGCCAUGCAACUCCUAUUGCAUAGUUUCGAUUACGGCGAACCAUGUUUCCCUGCGUGCAGUACAGACAGUCUCCAGGUCACCGAGUUCCGUUCCCUAGAUUUCAAGUCUGAAUCUUCAAGUGGAAUUUGGCAGCACCCCAUCCCCCCCUCAUUGGCUCCACCCGGUCACAGGUAGACACCCACGUGCAGGCACAGCUGGGGCUGUCAACUGUGCAAAGCAGCUAACCAGCAGCAAUCAGAGCAGAAGCUCAGCCCUAUAAGAC